Molecule: long non-coding RNA, 1182 nt
Organism: Cyprinus carpio (common carp)
Lineage: Eukaryota; Metazoa; Chordata; Actinopteri; Cypriniformes; Cyprinidae
Source: Ensembl
CAUAAAAUACAAAAACACUUAUGCAAGCGAAUCGUGCCCACAGCUAAAGUUUAGCUGCUAAACUGUGAACACUAGGUGGAUACGUUAGCCGAGUGCUAACGUGACUAACUGAUUAAACAAUACAGUUUGUAAACCAAAAUAUGUCUACUGUAAUGUUUGAAGAACGACAGACAAAAGACGCUUGGUCUUAACUUUUAAUCAGAACGCAGAACAGUUGUAUCACAGGAGCACCAGCCGAAAUCACUCAUCUCUCCCGCAUUAACCCUGUAACUGCCAGUGCAGCACAAUAAACAGCAGUUUCACAAUUAUUAUAAAGUCUGUGUGCUACACUACAUUCUUUAUUAUUAAACAAAGUAAUUAGAACAACGUCAGUCUACAAUAAUCAACAUAUUCUUAGGUUCACUGCGAAUUUUUAGAACUACUUCAGUAAGACAGUAAUAUCAUGCUUUACCUGGAAACCUAAAGCUGCACUAGGUAUACAUCACAUAUUGGCACAAAAAAAUUAUAUUUUGAGCACUCAAUUGAAAAUGUACACCUAACGUAUCAAUCGUACUACUUACAGGUCGUGGUUCAGAGAGCUUGUUAGUCCAAAUUAAGAAGAUUAGAAGCCAACGAAGAUAAAAGCCCAGAUUAGAGAAGCAGUUCUUGAUAAAAUGACAAGCACACAACAAAAGGCUUGAAUUGUAUUUCUGUGAACACCGCGUCUUCUCAACAUGAUGUAAACGCACUAAUAGCAAAAGUGUUUUUGGGCAGAUCAGACUCUGUUCGUAUUUCGCGGGCAUGCGGGGAUUAUGCAAAUGUAUACCCAGUGACGUACACCGGUAACAGGCAAAAGAGUCGAAAAUAUAACGACUCGUUACGGCGAUUCAGAACCGACUCUCUCUUUUGAGAGACAAUAUCUUUAUUUAUCAUGCACUUUUUUGAUUAACAACUUUGCAGAUUGUUUUCAUUUAAGGAUAGCUACGUUAUAAACUGCAAAAGAGAGAUUUUUCAAAAACCCAUCUGACCUGCUCUUUAAUGUUUUGAUCGGAACAGAAGAGCGGUGUUUAGACCCACGACUAUGCCGCUUCACAGUCACCUAGUUGCCAUGCUGCAAUGGCGCUGUUACCGGAACCGAACAAUGUACAGGGCUCCCUGAGCUAGACGCAUCCAAAGCCAUAUCUAGAGCCCUCACAUUCUUUC